UAGGGAAUCUUCCGCAAUGGACGCAAGUCUGACGGAGCAACGCCGCGUGAGUGAAGAAGGGUUUCGGCUCGUAAAACUCUGUUGUUAAGGAAGAAUGACAGGCAGAGUAACUGCUGCCUGUGUGACGGUACUUAACCAGAAAGCCACGGCUAACUACGUGCCAGCAGCCGCGGUAAUACGUAGGUGGCAAGCGUUAUCCGGAAUUAUUGGGCGUAAAGCGCGCGUAGGCGGUUUUUUAAGUCUGAUGUGAAAGCCCCCGGCUCAACCGGGGAGGGUCAUUGGAAACUGGGGAACUUGAGUGCAGAAGAGGAGAGUGGAAUUCCAUGUGUAGCGGUGAAAUGCGCAGAGAUAUGGAGGAACACCAGUGGCGAAGGCGGCUCUCUGGUCUGUAACUGACGCUGAUGUGCGAAAGCGUGGGGAUCAAACAGG
RNAcentral lists this ribosomal RNA (429 nucleotides) under Bacillota bacterium. RNAcentral's name for it is "Firmicutes bacterium partial 16S ribosomal RNA". It matches the Rfam family "Bacterial small subunit ribosomal RNA", at positions 355 to 776 of the family's 1533-position model. Lineage: Bacteria; Bacillati; Bacillota. RNAcentral also lists the same sequence under 2 other names. The record is from RNAcentral.